ACUCCUACGGGAGGCAGCAGUGGGGAAUUUUGCGCAAUGGGGGAAACCCUGACGCAGCAACGCCGCGUGAGUGAUGAAGGCCUUCGGGUCGUAAAGCUCUGUCAGAGGGGAAGAAAUGCAGGGGUGCUAAUACCAUUUCUGCUUGACGGUACCCUCAAAGGAAGCACCGGCUAACUCCGUGCCAGCAGCCGCGGUAAUACGGAGGGUGCGAGCGUUGUUCGGACUUAUUGGGCGUAAAGCGCGUGUAGGCGGCUCCUUAAGUCUGAUGUGAAAGCCCCGGGCUCAACCUGGGAAGUGCAUUGGAAACUGGGGAACUUGAAUACGGGAGAGGGUAGUGGAAUUCCUAGUGUAGGAGUGAAAUCCGUAGAUAUUAGGAGGAACACCGGUGGCGAAGGCGGCUACCUGGACCGAUAUUGACGCUGAGACGCGAAAGCGUGGGGAGCAAACAGGAUUAGAUACCCUGGUAGUCCACGCCGUAAACGAUGAGAACUAGGUGUCGCGGGUA
RNAcentral lists this ribosomal RNA (505 nucleotides) under uncultured Geobacter sp. RNAcentral describes it as "bacterial SSU rRNA". It matches the Rfam family "Bacterial small subunit ribosomal RNA", at positions 335 to 831 of the family's 1533-position model. Lineage: Bacteria; Pseudomonadati; Thermodesulfobacteriota; Desulfuromonadia; Geobacterales; Geobacteraceae. The record is from RNAcentral.